AGAGUUUGAUCCUGGCUCAGGAUGAACGCUAGCGGCAGGCCUAAUACAUGCAAGUCGGACGGGAUUGGAGAGCUUGCUUUCCAUGAGAGUGGCGCACGGGUGCGUAACACGUAUGUAACCUACCCUUAUCAGGGGGAUAGCCUCUCGAAAGAGAGAUUAAGCCCGCAUAACAUGGAGACACAGCAUUGUGCUUCCAUCAA
Molecule: ribosomal RNA, 200 nt
Filed under: uncultured bacterium
Lineage: Bacteria
Description: partial 16S ribosomal RNA
Rfam family: Bacterial small subunit ribosomal RNA
Source: RNAcentral